CUCUUAUCAAGAGAGGUGGAGGGAAAAGGCCCUAUGAAGCCCGGCAACCAGUGAUUUACCAAGGUGCCAAUUCCUGCAAUGUUUUAUUGCAAGAUAAGAG
The sequence is a regulatory RNA element, 100 nucleotides long. It matches the Rfam family "SAM riboswitch aptamer (S box leader)". Rfam says of the family: The SAM riboswitch is found upstream of a number of genes which code for proteins involved in methionine or cysteine biosynthesis in Gram-positive bacteria. The SAM riboswitch acts at the level of transcription termination control. The record is from Rfam.